Nerophis ophidion (straightnose pipefish) is the source of this 2916-nucleotide long non-coding RNA. RefSeq lists it as uncharacterized. NCBI's taxonomy places the organism in Eukaryota, Metazoa, Chordata, Actinopteri, Syngnathiformes, Syngnathidae. The record is from RefSeq and is a predicted model, not a curated record. The transcript is spliced from 2 exons.
UGUCAUGUGACCGCGCUGAGCCAACUGCGUACUAAGCGCGAGGGUCUUAACCUGCUGCGCCGUCAUUCCUUACUCAGAUCUCAGAGAGGGGAAAUCAGCAGACUGUCGAGCACAGGGCAGGUGUUUCUUUUUAGGACCAAUCGAUGGCGAGCCUGAACCUAGUGUCCACCUAACUGGCAGAAACUACUGGUCUGGUAGGAAGGCUGCCACAGCCUGUCCCCCACACACUCUGUGAACUUUGGUGCAUCGUCCCACUCAUUCCUACUCCUAACUAUAACCCUUGGAUAUUCAAUACAACCUCUCAACAAACCCUCAUAGGUCGUUGUAUCAGUUCUGGGACUCUGUAUAUUUUCUGUUGUGACACACAAGUUUCCAUUCCACUUCAAACAAUACAUUUUGAAGUGCACUUAUCAGCCAAUCUCUAACUGCAGUUGUAAAUAUUUUGGGGUUUUCUUUUUUUUUUAAUAGUAGUAUUGUUGUAAGUCCACCUGUUGCUGUUCCUCCAGAGCUCUCCUUUCCUUCUGAAGCUUGGCGAUGUGGUCAUCUCGCUGGUUGAGGUCUCCGGUUAUGGUUCGAACCUUGAGGUCCAAACCCUAAACAAAGCACAGAAUCGUUUUUCUCACUUAUUUGCUGUCUCCUCAUCGUGGACCUCACACCUGUUUCUCCUUCUCGGUCUUGGUCAGCGUAGAUUCCAUUGACUCCAGGUCGCUUUUCAGCUCAUUUAGUUCUCCCUCCAGCUGUCUCUUCUGGGAGUGGAGAGAGGCUGCGUUGCCUUCUUCUUCUUCCAGGCGCUCUCGCAUAUCCUAGAGAUAAUUUUAGCUGUCACACACAAGCAUUUUUAGCCAAAUUAUGUUGUUUUAGCUUAAUAGAAAUGAAAACAUUCAUAAAUGGUGGUGCAAUAAUUAGCGGUGUUUUUACUUUUAAUAUGAUACUGAUAUAGCCUUAAGUAUUAGCCAAUACGGAUAUUAGUCUGAUAAGAUAUUAGCAUAAAUCAUUGUUAGAAAAGGCUUGAUAAAAUGAAAUUACCAAAUUUUUCGGACUAUAGACCGUUUCUGAUCGAAAAGGACAUUCAUCGCUCCAAGCAACUUUUGUAAGUUUUACAAUUCAUACUUCCUGGACUGUCCCAUGUGUGGGGUCUGGAGGAGUGUUUUCAUGCAUAAUGGUACGUGCUAUCGUAAUGUAACCAAGCUAGCGUUAGGAUUAGCGAAUAUGCUAACACAUUUAAAAGUGCCUGUGUUAGUAUUAUUGACUUACAAUGGCAUUGAUUUUGUAUUGUUUCAGUUUGGUAAAUCCACAAAAAUGUCACAGUGGAGUUGAGUCUGUUUAGCCGAUUGGAGAAUUAGUAUGACAGAGAACUGUUGACUUCUGUUUUGUUUGAUCAGCCGUUUUACUGCAGUGUGACCACCACCAUUUGGAAACAAGGUAUGUAAAUAAACAUUUAUAACAUCUUUUGUACCGGUAGAUACAUACGGCUUAUAGUCCAGUGCAGCUAGUAUAUGUAAACAUAUUUAUUUAUUCUAAAAAUGCGCUCUAUAGCCCACAAAACACCGUAUUCAGACAAUGGUAACGCUAACCUUAUGACAGAUUUAUGCUUUUGAAGUGGAGUGGUAAUUUAUUUUUGGUGACACUUAGUGGUUACAAUAAUUCAUAAAGUUAAGCUCAUGACACAGUAACUUGAAAAUGCUGACACAUUUGUUACUGGACAUUUUCUAAUACAUUUCUGUUUUGGAGACUUUGUAUCUGUAAAUAAUAUGCGAUGAUAUUUUUUUGAUACUGUAUAUUUGGACAAAUUAUUUUGGACUGCAAUAUGGUUCUAUUAAGGACACUUAUGUAUGCCUAUCUUUUUGUGCUAUUGUGUGCUUAGCUGUUGUGUAGCUGCUACGCUAGCAUGUUUUACCUUUUGUAAAUGACUGCUCGUAUCGCACCUUACAUUAUAACUUAGUAUUCACAGGCAAGCCGGUAUCAUCUGAUGCCUGUUUUUUUGCUGAUUUCGGAUACCAGUAUCAGAUCGGGAUCACCCCCGCCCGCCCGCCACACUACCUGCACUGACUCCUCCAGCUGGACUUUUUGGUGCAUCAACUGGGUGCAGCGCUCCUCUGCAUCACCUAGAGUGUCCUGCUCCUGUUGACAGACAAGGUGGAAAAUCAGAAUGCAUAAUGCAAUGUAUGGAUAAAACUCAUGGGAUGGGACAACCGGACCAAAAUUAUAGAAUUGGUCCCCUAUUAGCAGUUUCCACUCUCCUGGGAAGACUUUCUACGCGAUUCUGGAGUGUGUGAAAAUACUUCUUCCUAUGUUUUGGACAUGAACAGAACUGAGAUUCACUCACAGCAGCCAACGCUAGGGCAAGGUCGCUCUUCUCCUGUGACAGAGUGAACAUCUUCCCUUCCAGAUCAUUGACCUUGCCCUCCAUGUCUUUGACCUUCUCCACCGCCACACGCAGUUCUUCCUCUUUAGCCUUGUAGAUCUCCUCCUGGCGGGCGACCAUCAGGAGAGGCUUCACCUGUAUCAGCCAAUACAGUUGGGUUAAGAAAAGUAGUUUUGCAAAAGAUUUUUUUUUUCUAAAGCUCAAAGACACUUAUUAAAAAACAAAAAUCAGGCUUAUUACCAAACAUCUUAAACUCUUAAGUUUCUUAUUUUUUAUGCUGUUAUUUGCUAUUUUAUUUAUUGCUACUAUUAGUACUAUUAUUUUUCCUAUUUAACGUUCUUAUUGAUCAAUACCUUACUAUUCAUAUUUCUAAUAAAAAUAUACAAUUAAAACAUUUUAACACUAUAUUUUAUAUUAUAUUUAUUUUCGCCCCAUGUAUUUUGAAUUGUGCUGUUUGUGCAUUUAUUCUUUUUUUCUUUUUUUUUAAUUGGCGUAAAACACCUGCCUGUGUAUGAAAGGAGCUAGAUAAAUAACGUGUUGGUGGAUUUUGA